UCCCGGUAUUGGAGGCAUUGCCUGCCCAGUGACAACUGUUUAACGGCCGCGGUAUCCUGACCGUGCAAAGGUAGCAUAAUCAUUUGUUCUCUAAAUAAGGACUUGUAUGAAUGGCCGCACGAGGGUUUUACUGUCUCUUACUUCCAAUCAGUGAAAUUGACCUUCCCGUGAAGAGGCGGGAAUGCACAAAUAAGACGAGAAGACCCUAUGGAGCUUUAACUAACCAACCCAAAGAGAAUAGAUUUAACCAUUAAGGAAUAACAACAAUCUCCAUGAGUUGGUAGUUUCGGUUGGGGUGACCUCGGAGAAUAAAAAAUCCUCCGAGCGAUUUUAAAGACUAGACCCACAAGUCAAAUCACUCUAUCGCUCAUUGAUCCAAAAACUUGAUCAACGGAACAAGUUACCCUAGGGAUAACAGCGCAAUCCUAUUCAAGAGUCCAUAUCGACAAUAGGGUUUACGACCUCGAUGUUGGAUCAGGACAUCCUGAUGGUGCAACCGCUAUCAAAGGUUCGUUUGUUCAACGAUUAAAGUCCUACGUGAUCUGAGUUCAGACCGGA
Molecule: ribosomal RNA, 558 nt
Filed under: Phascolosoma esculenta
Lineage: Eukaryota; Metazoa; Annelida; Sipuncula; Phascolosomatiformes; Phascolosomatidae
Description: partial 16S ribosomal RNA
Rfam family: Bacterial large subunit ribosomal RNA
Source: RNAcentral